GAACACGCUCCGACCUUACGGAAGGCGUGCUUUUAUUAGGAACAAGAUCAACCGGGCUCGUCCCGAUACGUUGGUGAACUCUGGAUAACUUAGCAGAUCGCACGGUCUCUGCACCGGCGACAGAUCCUUCAAACGUCUGCCCUAUCAACUUUCGAUGGUACGUUAUGCGCCUACCAUGGUCGUAACGGGUAACGGAGAAUCAGGGUUCGAUUCCGGAGAGGGAGCCUGAGAAAUGGCUACCACAUCCGAGGAAGGCAGCAGGCGCGCAAAUUACCCACUCUCGACACGGGGAGGUAGUGACGAAAAAUAACAAUACAGGACUCUUUCGAGGCUCUGUAAUUGGAAUGAGUACACUUUAAAUCCUUUAACGAGGAUCUACUGGAGGGCAAGUCUGGUGCCAGCAGCCGCGGUAAUUCCAGCUCCAGUGGCGUAUAUUAAUGCUGCUGCAGUUAAAAAGCUCGUAGUUGGAUCUAGGGCGUAUGCUAACGGUCCCUCGCAAGGGGUGCACUGUUUGUUCAUAGCCUCCCUCGCGGCUUGCGCCCGGUUCUCUUAACUGAGUGCCGGGUGCGGCCGGAACGUUUACUUUGAAAAAAUUGGAGUGUUCAAAGCAGGCGCAACAGCCUGAACAGCAGAGCAUGGAAUAAUGGAAUAGGACCUCGGUUCUAUUGCGUUGGUUUUAAGAGUCCGAGGUAAUGAUUGAGAGGGACUGACGGGGGCAUUCGUAUUGCGGUGUGAGAGGUGAAAUUCUUGGAUCGCCGCAAGACAGACUACA
This 772-nucleotide ribosomal RNA is filed under the name uncultured marine eukaryote. Its description in RNAcentral is "SSU rRNA". It matches the Rfam family "Eukaryotic small subunit ribosomal RNA", at positions 174 to 944 of the family's 1831-position model. The record is from RNAcentral.